Molecule: ribosomal RNA, 393 nt
Filed under: uncultured bacterium
Lineage: Bacteria
Description: partial 16S ribosomal RNA
Rfam family: Bacterial small subunit ribosomal RNA
Source: RNAcentral
AUGCGGAGGAUGCAAGCGUUAUCCGGAUUUAUUGGGUUUAAAGGGUGCGUAGGCGGUUUGCUAAGCGGGAGGUGAAAUGCCGGCGCUCAACGUCGGAAGUGCCUCCCGAACUGGUGGACUUGAAUGACUCUGCCGUGGGAGGAAUGUGUAGUGUAGCGGUGAAAUGCUUAGAGAUUACACAGAACACCGAUUGCGAAGGCAUCUCACGAAGGGUUGAUUGACGCUGAGGCACGAAAGCGUGGGGAUCAAACAGGAUUAGAUACCCUGGUAGUCCACGCAGUAAACGAUGAUGGCUAACCGCUGGAUCCAUCGGUUCAGUGGCCAAGCGAAAGCGAUAAGCCAUCCACCUGGGGAGUACGACCGCAAGGUUGAAACUCAAAUGAAUUGACGGGG